AGUUUGAUCCUGGCUCAGAUUGAACGCUGGCGGCAGGCUUAACACAUGCAAGUCGAGCGGGGAAAGGUAGCUUGCUACCUUACCUAGCGGCGGACGGGUGAGUAAUGCUUAGGAAUCUGCCUAUUAGUGGGGGACAACAUUUCGAAAGGAAUGCUAAUACCGCAUACGCCCUACGGGGGAAAGCAGGGGACCUUCGGGCCUUGCGCUAAUAGAUGAGCCUAAGUCGGAUUAGCUAGUUGGUGGGGUAAAGGCCUACCAAGGCGACGAUCUGUAGCGGGUCUGAGAGGAUGAUCCGCCACACUGGGACUGAGACACGGCCCAGACUCCUACGGGAGGCAGCAGUGGGGAAUAUUGGACAAUGGGGGGAACCCUGAUCCAGCCAUGCCGCGUGUGUGAAGAAGGCCUUUUGGUUGUAAAGCACUUUAAGCGAGGAGGAGGCUACUUAGAUUAAUACUCUAGGAUAGUGGACGUUACUCGCAGAAUAAGCACCGGCUAACUCUGUGCCAGCAGCCGCGGUAAUACAGAGGGUGCAAGCGUUAAUCGGAUUUACUGGGCGUAAAGCGUGCGUAGGUGGCCAAUUAAGUCAAAUGUGAAAUCCCCGAGCUUAACUUGGGAAUUGCAUUCGAUACUGGUUGGCUAGAGUAUGGGAGAGGAUGGUAGAAUUCCAGUGUAGCGGUGAAAUGCGUAGAGAUCUGGAGGAAUACCGAUGGCGAAAGCAGCCAUCUGGGCCUAAUACUGACACUGAGUACGAAAGCAUGGGGAGCAAACAGGAUUAGAUACCCUGGUAGUCCAUGCCGUAACGAUGUCUACUAGCCGUUGGGGUCUUUGAGA
RNAcentral lists this ribosomal RNA (831 nucleotides) under uncultured bacterium. RNAcentral describes it as "bacterial SSU rRNA". It matches the Rfam family "Bacterial small subunit ribosomal RNA", at positions 10 to 837 of the family's 1533-position model. The record is from RNAcentral.